CUCCUCUCUCCCUCCCUCCCUCCCUCCUCUCCUUUCUUUCUCUUUGGUUCCUCUCUCUUAUCCCCUUUACCUGUCUCAACUCCCUUAUCCCUUGCUCCUGUCUGACCUACCCUAUCCCCUGCUCCUGUAUCACCUACCCUAUCCCCUGUUCCUGUAUCACCUACCCUAUCCCCUGUUCCUGUAUCACCUACCCUAUCCCCUGUUCCUGUAUCACCUACCCUAUCCCCUGUUCCUAUAUCACCUACCCUAUCCCCUGUUCCUAUAUCACCUACCCUAUCCCCUGUUCCUGUAUCACCUACCCUAUCCCCUGUUCCUGUAUCACCUACCCUAUCACCCGUUCCUAUAUCACCUACCCUAUCCCCUGCUCCUGUAUCACCUACCCUAUCCCCUGUUCCUGUAUCACCUACCCUAUCCCCUGCUCCUGUAUCACUUACCCUAUCCCCUGCUCCUGUCUCACCUACCCUAUCCCCUGCUCCUGUCUCACCUCCCGUAUCCCCUGCUCCUGUCUCACCUCCCGUAUCCCCUGCUCCUGUCUCACCUCCCGUAUCCCCUGCUCCUGUCUCACCUCCCGUAUCCCCUGCUCCUGUCUCACCUCCCGUAUCCCCUGCUCCUGUCUCACCUCCCCUAUCCCCUGCUCCUGUCUCACCUCCCGUAUCCCCUGCUCCUGUCUCACCUCCCGUAUCCCCUGCUCCUGUCGUACCUCCUCCAAACUGCCUCUCUACUCUCCUCUGCUAUUUUGUCUCCUCCUUCCCUCUGGGUUUUUCUUCAGCCUCUGCUUUCAAGUCCCUCUUCUCCUCCUCAACUCCUCCAAUUCUCCAGUUCUCAAGAGACACUCACAGACUCUGGCAACUUUACUUCCCUCCUCUAACAUUGCUAUCAGUGACACGGUAGCUUUAGCUUCCAGUGAUGACUUCAUUCCACUACUCCCUUGGCCAAUGUGACAGACUGAGAACUUAACCAGGGUAUGAGGAAUAGUAAUACUAUCUUAAUGCUAUAGGCAGGCCUCUGCCAGUAGUGUUAUGGAAGCGUG
This 1030-nucleotide long non-coding RNA is filed under the name Oncorhynchus kisutch (coho salmon). RNAcentral's name for it is "lncRNA (ENSOKIG00005006464.1)". Lineage: Eukaryota; Metazoa; Chordata; Actinopteri; Salmoniformes; Salmonidae. The record is from RNAcentral.